Molecule: ribosomal RNA, 458 nt
Filed under: uncultured bacterium
Lineage: Bacteria
Description: partial 16S ribosomal RNA
Rfam family: Bacterial small subunit ribosomal RNA
Source: RNAcentral
GAUAAACGCUGGCGGCGUGCAUGAGACAUGCAAGUCGAACGAAGGAUCGGGCUUGCUCGAUCCUUAGUGGCGGACGGCUGAGUAACGCGUAGGUGACCUACCCCGAAGUGGGGAAUAACUGCCCGAAAGGGCGGCUAAUACCGCAUGUGGUCGCACGUUCAUUCGUGCGAGUAAAGCCGCAAGGCGCUUCGGGAGGGGCCUGCGUCCGAUUAGCUCGUUGGUGGGGUAAUGGCUUACCAAGGCGACGAUCGGUAGGUGGUCUGAGAGGACGAUCACCCAGACUGGGACUGAGACACGGCCCAGACUCCUACGGGAGGCAGCAGUCGGGAAUUUUGCUCAAUGGGGGAGACCCUGAAGCAGCAACGCCGCGUGAGGGAUGAAGGCCUUCGGGUUGUAAACCUCUUUUGUCAGGGACGAUGAUGACGGUACCUGGCGAAUAAGCCACGGCUAACUACGUG